GUUAUGAACCAAGUCCAACCCAAUAUCGAUAUUAAGGUCACACAAGUAGUUAUUGGGCUGACAAGAGCUAUUGGGCCGAAAGCAAGCAAUAGGUCCAGUUUUAUUUGGGAUCCAGGCCCAUUUACACUUUGUUAAAAAGGACUAGGAGUUAGAAGAAUGGGGAUGAAAAACUAUUAUGUGAAGCUUUGGCUUUCUGAUCCUCUCAUCUCCUUUCUAUGGUCUUGUAUCUCAUCCCUUUCUGGUUACUUCUUUCUCGAUUUAUCUCUCCUUAGUUAGUGUAUUAUUACUUUGUUGUGCGUAUUCUACAUUAUAACUUGUAUUCAGUGAUUAAUAUAUAUAAGAGUGCUUCUGCUGGAAUUGAGUUUGUUA
RNAcentral lists this long non-coding RNA (369 nucleotides) under Solanum tuberosum (potato). RNAcentral describes it as "long non-coding RNA (STUB_LNC008089)". The record is from RNAcentral. Lineage: Eukaryota; Viridiplantae; Streptophyta; Magnoliopsida; Solanales; Solanaceae.